UGCUCGUUCAUGUUCUCCUGA
RNAcentral lists this non-coding RNA (21 nucleotides) under Arabidopsis thaliana (thale cress). Lineage: Eukaryota; Viridiplantae; Streptophyta; Magnoliopsida; Brassicales; Brassicaceae. The record is from RNAcentral.